GACACUUUGGAGGCCUGCCGGAAGUGCCAGGCAUGCGCCCAGGCAUACCCCAGACGGAGACAGCUGCCCACUGUAACACAGCGAGUGACGUGCUCCUGAAGACAGGGGAACAGAAAUCCUGGUGUCAGCCAUGGAACCUCCAAGCCCUUAGGGGAGGGCCUGCGGUAUGACUUACAUGUUACUCCUUGGGUAUUUAAUGUGUAUGUAGCCUCUACGAUUGACCGUCAUAGGGGAACAGCCAGGGAAGGGACCCUCCUUGGGGGGAUAUAUGUACUGUCUGUGUGGCCUGUUGUGAGCUCUCCUGUGACUUUGGCACAAGUACAAGACCCAAAAGAACCACGGGGAGCCGAGAAGGUGUGGUUUCAUCACCCAGGGCAGAAGCCCUUGGUGGCUGCAUCGUUAUCCAGAGAUGAAAAGUUAGCCUGUAUGUUGCCUGAGGGACGUGACUUGCCCUGUUAGUUCCUGUGCCUGUUUUGUCAUUCCAGUGGUAGAUUGGCGGCUCCAACAGCAUCGUAGACUGGGCCCACACCUACGCCGAGGUGACCAAUGUCUCCAACUGUUGGAUCUGCACCGCCCUUCCAGCAGCAGCUGCAGACAGCUGGCCCUGGCAUGUGCAUCCAGCUUCUGUGAAGAACCGGACAUAGCUAGAGACUUGAGGUCCCACAGACAAUGCGUGGGAUGCAACACAGUGGGCUUUGGAUGGGGGCAUGGCAAACCCCAUGGCGAGCCUGCCCCCUGGCUGACUCGCAGUGUCCAUGAUGAAUGGGGCUGGUUAAUGGGAAACACAUAGUGCCCCCAUUGCAGGUACCAUGAUGUAUAGAGAAGCACUGGGGUAAUGUCACUGUAGGAUGGUUGCCUGCUGAGGUUUGUGCAAAUAAAACAUGUGUCACCACACCAAGGGUGUGGAGGAACAAGCGACCUUACCAAGGCCGGGCCCCCAUGGACUUUGUGCCCCCUGGGAAUUUAUGGGUCUGUGGGGACACAGGAUGGCCAAAUCUGCCAGCCAAUUGGACUGGACGUUGUACCUGGGGGUGGCCUUAUGUGCCUGCCAUCAUGCUUCCCACAUUGCCUAGUUGCCCACAUAAUUGGGAGGCACUGCAUUCCCACUUUUUCUGAGUGCAGGGCACCCCCUGGUGGUUUUAUCCCUUAGCAAUACGUAUCCCUGGAGCAGGUGUCAUUACUUUGGAAAAGCAGGUUACAGCCUUUGCAGAGCACACAGCUGGGGCCCUAAAUUACACCCAAGUUGCUCUCCUUUUGUUAACUAAUGAAGUUGACCAGGUCAGGAAGGUGGUGCUGCAAAACACGAUGGCCUUAGACAUAGCCUUAGACAUGCAAGGACAUAGGUGGCCCCUGUGCCUUGUAGGGACACAAUGUUGUACAUUUAUCCCUGAAAACCACUGGAAUGUAACGGCAGCUUUGCAAGGGGUGUCAUAGGAGAUUAAGGCAAUUGAGCACCUUACUGAUGACCCCCUACAGAGAUGGUGGGCGUCUUUUGGGCUCUGGCCUAUGUUGGGCUCUCAUAAUCAUAAGUAGCAUAGCAGGAUAUUCCUGGUAGGUUGUUGCUCUCUGUGUGGUUGCUGUGGCCUAUGGGUCCAGGGUACUGCCAUAUGUGCACAGGUCCCCACCAAGAGGAUCCCCUUGGCCUAGAGGAUGGAGUGUAAGGAACAUGGCUGUGCUGUAGCCAAGCAGGCAUAGGGCAGCAGGCAUAGGCCAAGGUAAACAGCCUAAAUGACUCAGAGGGAUUGGGGUGCACGCGCACACUCCCAUGUCUCAUACAAUCAUAGCCAUGUAGACACAACAUAGAGAAGCUCCCCACCUGGCUCUCAGUCACUAAUGUCUGUGUAGGUAUAAAUGUAACACUGACCCUGUGAGGGGCUGCUGAAUAAAGCCAUGUCUCAUCUACC
RNAcentral lists this long non-coding RNA (1904 nucleotides) under Homo sapiens (human). RNAcentral's name for it is "HSALNT0193758". Lineage: Eukaryota; Metazoa; Chordata; Mammalia; Primates; Hominidae. The record is from RNAcentral.